Molecule: long non-coding RNA, 857 nt
Filed under: Androctonus crassicauda
Lineage: Eukaryota; Metazoa; Arthropoda; Arachnida; Scorpiones; Buthidae
Source: RNAcentral
UUAAUAUGAAAAUUAAAAUUGUGAAAUUUUACAUAAUUUUUGUUGAAAUCUUUUGAAAUUUUGAAUAUUUAUUGCAUUUUUUGUUCUCUUUCUAACAAUAUAAGCAUUUUUUCAAAUUUUAUUUUUUUGCAUAACUUUUUAUUAUGUUUACAGGAUCAUAGAAAACACGAUUUUUUUUGUGUGUGUUAUGGCCAAUGCCCAAUGUCUAGCUAAUUUGCAACAUGACUGGCCACUUCUAUAUUUGGCCAAAUCCCAAAAUAUACAAGAAUUUACAUCUAUUUUGGACUUUGGCUGGCCAGUUUGCAAUGUGCCUGACAGUCAAUGGCUAAUUUGGCUUAGCAAAAAUGACCAAAGCCAGUAGAGCUAAGCAGCAGAAUGCAUUUGUGCAAAUUCUGCCUUAUUCACCAGCAAGAAUGAGAUUGUCUGUCAUGUCAUGUAUUGAUGUGACAGACAAUCCAUUCUCGCUGGUAAAUAAGCCAAAUUUCGACAGCAAUUUGAAUUUAUAUUUUUCGUUUGUUUUUCAAAAACGAUGUUUUUAUUAAUUCUUAGAGAGCCUCCUUAUAGUGGACUAAUGCCCCUUAGUAGGGUGCUCACAGUUUGGAAAACACUUCAUAUCUAUAUUGGAAAUAAUUUCAGUUUUCUAUUUGCUCAGCAAAUUCUAGUUUGCAUAUCACUGCUAUCCAGUGUUUCUCCUAUCAAUGCUUUAGUUAGUAAUUUUGAGAUCUCAAAAUACUGAUGCAAGAUAUUAUAGACCCACUAAUAUGAAUGGGAUUGUGUCUCAGAAUAAGGAAAAGGCUAGAGAUACUCUUUUGCAAGAUUUCUGUAACUAAUUUAUCAUAAUGCAUUAUGAAUUUAUU